GAAGAUAAAUUAGCUGCAGCAGAAAAAGACAAAAGCUCUUGGUGAGCAGGCACGGUCUGAACAGAAAAGCCAGCCCUGAGGACUAUGUAGGGCGGCCGCCGGGAGUCCCCCGGGUCUGAAGAAACGCAAAGCAGCCUCGUGAGCAAAGCGCCCUCAGAGCAAACGGAGCCGUAGCAGCGAGGCUCUCGCCGGCCUGGGGCGGCUUCCCCAGCACCCUUCACACGGGCACCCUCGGAGCCCUCGGCCCUUUGGGUGUUCUGGACAUGGGGGGGCUGAUGGCAUGGUGGGGUGAGCGGCCCAGAGAAACGCAACUACUGUAAGCUUUGAUUUGUGACCUUCUAGCUGGAAAAUAAAAGAAAAAAGGGAAAGGAAACGAAAGAAAGCCUCUGGAAGGCAGCCAGGCCUGUAUGUGUGGAACUUGGAGACUGAGUCAAGGCCCGCGGGGCUGUUUCUAGGGGAAGAAUCAGGUGACCAGGCCGCUCACUCCACAGCUGUGGCUCUGCAUGAUCCUUGACUGGGAAAAGUUCUAAAAUUAAUAACUGAUAGACAACAGACACACACGAAACUUUUUGGUCGUCAUGGCUUAGUGAAGAAGAAAUGCGCAGCAGUAGAAUACCUGAAUCUAACUGCUCGUAGCUGGAGAACUGAAUUUCUCUUCCGUUGGCAGAGGAUCAGAACACGUUGCAGAAGUAAAUGCUGUCCAUCGUCACAAACAUUCCAGACCCAGCAAGUCUGGGGAUCGUUGCUGUGUUACUUUUAAUCUUGUGAAAAGACUCCCGGAGGCAGGCUGUGGGAACCGAUCUCCUCCAGGCUACUCAGAGCAGUUGCCCCUAGGAGGACACAUCAGAACCAGCAGACAUGCUGUCACUCAGCCCAGGGACACGCCAGAGGGGAUGCAGAGAGACCCAAAAGCAAGCAUCGGCUCUUUAUCUCAGGACGUGAUGGCAGCCUCAGUCCACCAGAGGAGCCACGUCACGCUGCUACCCAAAGAAGUGUAAGCUGCUUAAACCCUAACUGACCCCCCACUCUGGGCUAGUCUUCUAUGAGAUGGGUGUGCUGUUUGGGGGUGGGGAUUAAAGACUAAUUCCUCAUAGACUGUCAGCAACUCCAUCAGGAGAGAACUGAGGCAUGGGGGCGGGGGGUGUGGCAAGGAAAGGUACUAUUUAUUCAAAUGGCCAUCUCUUCAAAGAGAGGCACCAUCCUAUUUGGUAACAACUGUUGCUUCCAGCCUUCAUAGCUUACAACUACCUAUAGACGACUGCCUAGAUAGUUUUAUGUCUCAAUUUUAAGCUUUGUUUUCUAGUGGCUAAUCAUCUAUUCUACCCAGUUUCCAAGAUAGCCGUAAGGAGCCUCACUUCCUGAGAUUCAUGGCCUCGAAAAGCUGCCUCCCACAUGAAUGAGGGCAACAUAUAAUUCCACAACCAUCUCUAUCAUUAUCUAGGUUGUUAGAAUGUUUUGCUGUUAAAAACAACCAUGAAACUAAUACCAAUGGAUGUAUUUAAUAAAAAUUAUACUUAUAGUAGUUAAAAA
Non-coding RNA from Miniopterus natalensis, 1530 nucleotides. NCBI's taxonomy places the organism in Eukaryota, Metazoa, Chordata, Mammalia, Chiroptera, Miniopteridae. The record is from RefSeq and is a predicted model, not a curated record.